This 307-nucleotide ribosomal RNA is filed under the name Aliarcobacter cryaerophilus. Its description in RNAcentral is "partial 23S ribosomal RNA". It matches the Rfam family "Bacterial large subunit ribosomal RNA", at positions 1607 to 1899 of the family's 2925-position model. The record is from RNAcentral. Lineage: Bacteria; Pseudomonadati; Campylobacterota; Epsilonproteobacteria; Campylobacterales; Arcobacteraceae.
GCCAAGAAAAGCCACUAAGUUUAUUAUAUGUUGCCCGUACCGUAAACCGACACAGGUGGGUGGGAUGAGUAUUCUAAGGCGCGUGGAAGAACCCUCUUUAAGGAACUCUGCAAAAUAGCACCGUAUCUUCGGUAUAAGGUGUGCCUACUUUGGUAUAUGAACUUGCUUCAAAAAGCUAAAGAGGUUGCAACAAAGAGUCCCUCCCGACUGUUUACCAAAAACACAGCACUUUGCUAACACGUAAGUGGAUGUAUAAGGUGUGACGCCUGCCCGGUGCUCGAAGGUUAAUUGAUGAUGUCAGCGCCUG